AUUCCAUCUCUAAUCCAUCAGAAAUUUGUGACAAAUGGCUUUUUCGUAAAAAAUUUGUGACAGAAAAAUAUUGCCGUAAAAAAAUUUGUGAAGGAAUGUUUUGCUGUCACAAAUUUUAUUCCUUCACAAAUUUUUGACAGAAAAUAUUUGUCCAUCAUAAAUCUUUGAUAGAAAACAUGAAAUCGUCAAAUACUUUGUGACGAAAUAUAUUAUUCCGUCACAAAUUAGUGACGAAUUAAUAUAUCCGUCACAAAUUUGUGACGAAGUAGCUUAUCCGUCACAAAUUUGUGAUGAAUUGAAUUAUCCAUUAUAAAUUUGUG
This 320-nucleotide unclassified non-coding RNA is filed under the name Hevea brasiliensis (rubber tree). The record is from RNAcentral. Lineage: Eukaryota; Viridiplantae; Streptophyta; Magnoliopsida; Malpighiales; Euphorbiaceae.